Molecule: ribosomal RNA, 397 nt
Filed under: uncultured bacterium
Lineage: Bacteria
Description: partial 16S ribosomal RNA
Rfam family: Bacterial small subunit ribosomal RNA
Source: RNAcentral
AUACGUAGGGGGCGAGCGUUGUCCGGAAUGAUUGGGCGUAAAGGGCGCGUAGGCGGCGCGGUAAGUCUGGAGUGAAAGUCCUGCUUUCAAGGUGGGAAUUGCUUUGGAUACUGCCGCGCUUGAGUGCAGGAGAGGUUAUCGGAAUUCCCGAUGUAGCGGUGAAAUGCGUAGAGAUCGGGAGGAACACCAGUGGCGAAGGCGGGUAACUGGACUGCAACUGACGCUGAGGCGCGAAAGUGUGGGGAGCAAACAGGAUUAGAUACCCUGGUAGUCCACACUGUAAACGAUGAAUGCUAGGUGUAAGAGGUAUCGACCCCUUUUGUGCCGGAGUCAACACAAUAAGCAUUCCGCCUGGGGAGUACGGCCGCAAGGUUGAAACUCAAAUGAAUUGACGGGG